RNAcentral lists this ribosomal RNA (194 nucleotides) under uncultured bacterium. RNAcentral describes it as "partial 16S ribosomal RNA". It matches the Rfam family "Bacterial small subunit ribosomal RNA", at positions 338 to 524 of the family's 1533-position model. The record is from RNAcentral.
CCUACGGGAGGCAGCAGUAAGGAAUAUUGGACAAUGGGCGCAAGCCUGAUCCAGCCAUACCGCGUGGGUGAAGAAGGCCUUCGGGUUGUAAAGCCCUUUUGUUGGGAAAGAAAUCCAGCUGGUUAAUACCCGGUUGGGAUGACGGUACCCAAAGAAUAAGCACCGGCUAACUUCGUGCCAGCAGCCGCGGUAAU